GAAAUGCGAUAAUUAAUGUGAAUUGCAGAAUUCAGUGAAUCAUCGAGUCUUUGAACGCACAUUGCGCCCCCAGGUAUUCCGGGGGGCAUGCCUGUCCGAGCGUCAUUGCUGCCCUCAAGCACGGCUUGUGUGUUGGGCUUCCGUCCCUGGCAACGGGGACGGGCCCAAAAGGCAGUGGCGGCACCAUGUCUGGUCCUCGAGCGUAUGGGGCUUUGUCACCCGCUCCCGUAGGUCCAGCUGGCAGCUAGCCUCGCAACCAAUCUUUUUAACCAGGUUGACCUCGGAUCAGGUAGGGAUACCCGCUGAACUUAAGC
RNAcentral lists this unclassified non-coding RNA (314 nucleotides) under plant metagenome. RNAcentral describes it as "partial contains 5.8S ribosomal RNA, internal transcribed spacer 2, and large subunit ribosomal RNA". The stretch from base 1 to 105 matches the Rfam family "5.8S ribosomal RNA", at positions 50 to 154 of the family's 154-position model. The record is from RNAcentral.